AAAAGUAAAGAAACUUUAACUCCCCAAAGAUUAAAAAUGAUAACUUUCCGACAGAGAAGCAAAAGUAGAAAGGAAAUUAUUUGAGGGGUUUGUGUGAAGAAGAAACGAGACUGAAAAAAUGGCAACUCACCAAGGAUGAAGAGUAGCAGAUGGGAAGAAGAAGAAAGAAUUAAAUAUUUAGUAGUGAUAUAUUUCACACCAUAAAGAAUAUAAACAAUUACUUACUUUGUCGCAGUGGUUUAGCGAUUCAAUUUUGGAAUUUUUGCAAAAUUGACCUACAACUUAAAGUCAAACACAAAACUAACCUCCCUUUUUUUUGAAAAUUGAUUUUGCCCUAUUCACCCCACAAGUUCAUAUAAUUUAUGAAAAUGCCAUCAAUUUUUUUUUUUUUUUUUUCGAAAAUGACAUUUUUACUCUCUCACCCUCAUCAUCUUCAAGUAAUUACAAGAUUGCCAUUGUCAUCAAUACCACAACCACCAUGAACAACCAAUUUGAAGCUCUUAAUGCUCCCAAAAUCGAUUUACCCUUCUUCUUUUUCAUUCUUGUGAACUAAACAAAACAUGUCUCUCACUUUCUCUCCACAAUGAGCUAAAAAAAACCAAGAUUUUGAUUCUAAAAUUUUUUUGGUUCAUAGAGUCAUAGAAGCUAACGAUUAUGGGUGGGUGACUUUCGUUUGUGA
This 679-nucleotide long non-coding RNA is filed under the name Brassica rapa (field mustard). RNAcentral describes it as "long non-coding RNA (BRAP_LNC002478)". The record is from RNAcentral. Lineage: Eukaryota; Viridiplantae; Streptophyta; Magnoliopsida; Brassicales; Brassicaceae.